AUCCUUUCAGCCCGGCCCAUAUUUGUUUUCUUCCUCGAUAAGAACUCAGAAACAUUGGUGUCGAUUCUGCGAUUGAUUUUCCUCACUCGCUACCAGAUUAACGCGACCCUCAUGACUUGUCGCCUUCCUCUAACAUCUCCAAAGUUGAAACCCAACUGUGCCAAGCGCGUGACCGCGAGUGGACAACCCAGUACCCUGCACUCUUUUGUCUCCUUCCUCUUCGACUUCGCUCGUACAUUUCCUGCAGUUGGCUCUCGUCCUUGGCUCGCGUGGACGGGUGCCAUGUCAAGCUUCAAGGAUGACGGAUCUAUCCCAGUCGUCCAUCUCUCUCCAAAUCUGUUGGGAAGAAAGAAUCAUUUCAGAAUAUUCUCUAAAUUUGAGGGGAUAAGGUUUUGUGGCUGAGACGAUUCUACCCUUUCCCCCCAUUUUUGAAAACCUAGUCCCCUUCCAAUAUAAUGUUCAGUUGGUUCUUUGGAGCAAGGGGAUUUUUUUUUUUUUUGGAUUUUUUUUCGACUGAUACUCUUAUCUUGGUUUAAAAAUUUCAUAGCGAGAAAUAUUCAUGACAUACUAAAGAAGAUACAGGGAGGAGUGUAUACAUAAAGGAUUCUUUUUGGCUCAAAGUUUCAGACCUGUCUUUCUGAUUUCCUACUUGUUUGUUUGUAUUUCGAGAUUUUUAGAGAAAUCUCCGCCUUCCCAACUCGUUUUGUCCGUUUGCUGCUCCUCGAAAGGUUCCCCGAAGCCUGGAAAUGGGAUGUUAUACUCGUUUUAUACACCGAUAUACAAGUCAAAACAUGCAUAGGGGGCCAAACUCGAAAUUAAGGUUGAUAACAGUGAAGAUAUACUGUUGCAAAAUUUUUCCAGCUUUCGAAAGUCGAAGAACAAGUGGAUAUACCAUCUGUAUACACUGGUAUACAGAUGCGUUAUACCACAGAUAGGUGUAAAACAUGAAAAUGCGGGUUUAACUUGCAGGGAUGUCGAACUCAAGUAAAAUGCAGGAACAAUGAAUAAAUACAUACAUAGAAUAUAGCCCGUAUAUAUCGAUAUACACGCUUUAUACAGUGAUAUACAAACAUAAUGCAGUUCACAGGUUCAAAAUACUGAGAAGCAGGUUGAAAAAUGCAGAACGUGAAAUUCAAGUCGAGACAGAUUUUGGGAGUGCAGUAAUGGGUGAUAUACAUGGUAUAUACAUCAGAUAUGCACUUUGUGUAUAUCUUUCCAUUUACAAAUAAAAGGAGCCCAAAGGGCUUUAAAAAAUAGCCCAGCAGCAGAAUUGUAAUUAAAUAGGCCCAAAAUAAAGUCUUGGAUACUUUUAGUAAUGGGAAAAUUGUAUAUAAUAGCAAAUUAAUAACCUAAAAUAAAUGGAGUAGCUAGGGUUUGAUUUAA
Long non-coding RNA from Solanum pennellii, 1383 nucleotides. RefSeq lists it as uncharacterized. The record is from RefSeq and is a predicted model, not a curated record. Lineage: Eukaryota; Viridiplantae; Streptophyta; Magnoliopsida; Solanales; Solanaceae. The transcript has 2 exons.